Molecule: ribosomal RNA, 566 nt
Filed under: uncultured bacterium
Lineage: Bacteria
Description: bacterial SSU rRNA
Rfam family: Bacterial small subunit ribosomal RNA
Source: RNAcentral
CCUACGGGAGGCAGCAGUGAGGAAUUUUCCGCAAUGGGCGAAAGCCUGACGGAGCAAUGCCGCGUGGAGGAGGAAGGCCUGUGGGUCGUAAACUCCUUUUCUCAGAGAAGAAGUUCUGACGGUAUCUGAGGAAUAAGCAUCGGCUAACUCUGUGCCAGCAGCCGCGGUAAUACAGGGGGAUGCAAGCGUUAUCCGGAAUUAUUGGGCGUAAAGCGUCCUGAGGUGGCUUACCCAGUCGACUGUGAAAGCUCAAGGCUUAACCUUGAAACGGCAGUCGAAACUUGUAAGCUUGAGUACGGUAGGGGCAGAGGGAAUUCCCGGAGGAGAGGUGAAAUUCGUAGAUAUCGGGAGGAAGGCCAAAGGCGAAAGCACUCUGCUGGGCCGAUUACUGACACUGACAGACGAAAGCUAGGGGAGCGAAAGGGAUUAGAUACCCCUGUAGUCCUAGCCGUAAACGAUGGAUACUAAGUGUUGCGCGACUCAAAACGUGCAGUGCUGCAGCUAACGCGGUAAGUAUCCCGCCUGGGGAGUAUGCCCGCAAGGGUGAAACUUAAAUGAAUUGACGG